This 392-nucleotide ribosomal RNA is filed under the name uncultured bacterium. RNAcentral describes it as "partial 16S ribosomal RNA". It matches the Rfam family "Bacterial small subunit ribosomal RNA", at positions 523 to 918 of the family's 1533-position model. The record is from RNAcentral.
AUACGGAGGAUCCGAGCGUUAUCCGGAUUUAUUGGGUUUAAAGGGUGCGCAGGCGGCCAUUUAAGUCAGCGGUUAAAUCGUGGGGCUCAACCCCAUUCUGCCGUUGAUACUGGGUGGCUUGAUUGCGGUCGAGGUUGGCGGAAUUCGUUGUGUAGCGGUGAAACGCAUAGAUAUGACGAAGAACACCGAUUGCGUAGGCAGCUGACCAGACCGCAAAUGACGCUCAUGCACGAAAGUGCGGGGAUCGAACAGGAUUAGAUACCCUGGUAGUCCGCACAGUAAACGAUGAAUACUUGUUUUCGGCGAUAUAAUGUCGGAGGCAAAGCGAAAGCGAUAAGUAUUCCACCUGGGGAGUACGCCGGCAACGGUGAAACUUAAAGGAAUUGACGGGG